Molecule: long non-coding RNA, 163 nt
Organism: Orbicella faveolata
Lineage: Eukaryota; Metazoa; Cnidaria; Anthozoa; Scleractinia; Merulinidae
Source: RefSeq, a predicted model, not a curated record
ACAGCUAACAGAGGAACAUAAUGAGGAGUUAAGGGAAAUCAGAGAGGGAUAUGAAAUCAAGCUCAAAGAAAUGGAGAAGGACUUGGCUGUUGCAAGGAAUGAUGUAGAGGACAUGGCUGACAAACUUGCUGAAACUACUCUUCUUAAUCAGCAAUUAAAUGAG